This 253-nucleotide ribosomal RNA is filed under the name uncultured bacterium. RNAcentral's name for it is "partial 16S ribosomal RNA". It matches the Rfam family "Bacterial small subunit ribosomal RNA", at positions 524 to 776 of the family's 1533-position model. The record is from RNAcentral.
UACGGAGGGUGCAAGCGUUAUCCGGAUUUACUGGGUUUAAAGGGUGCGUAGGUGGGCAGGUAAGUCAGUGGUGAAAUCUCCGGGCUUAACCCGGAAACUGCCAUUGAUACUAUCUGUCUUGAAUUUCCUGGAGGUAAGCGGAAUAUGUCAUGUAGCGGUGAAAUGCUUAGAUAUGACAUAGAACACCAAUUGCGAAGGCAGCUUACUACGGGAACAUUGACACUGAGGCACGAAAGCGUGGGGAUCAAACAGG